UACAGAGGAGCCAAGCGUUGUCCGGAUUGACUGGGCGUAAAGCGUGCGCAGGCGGUUAUGUAAGUCAGGUGUGAAAUCCCCGGGCUUAACCUGGGAACUGCAUUUGUGACUGCAUAGCUAGAGUACGGUAGAGGGGGAUGGAAUUCCGCGUGUAGCAGUGAAAUGCGUAGAUAUGCGGAGGAACACCGAUGGCGAAGGCAAUCCCCUGGACCUGUACUGACGCUCAUGCACGAAAGCGUGGGGAGCAAACAGG
This 253-nucleotide ribosomal RNA is filed under the name uncultured bacterium. Its description in RNAcentral is "partial 16S ribosomal RNA". It matches the Rfam family "Bacterial small subunit ribosomal RNA", at positions 524 to 776 of the family's 1533-position model. The record is from RNAcentral.